This 525-nucleotide ribosomal RNA is filed under the name uncultured bacterium. Its description in RNAcentral is "bacterial SSU rRNA". It matches the Rfam family "Bacterial small subunit ribosomal RNA", at positions 235 to 770 of the family's 1533-position model. The record is from RNAcentral.
GGCCUAUCAGCUAGUUGGUGGGGUAACGGCCUACCAAGGCGACGACGGGUAGCCGGCCUGAGAGGGCGACCGGCCACACUGGGACUGAGACACGGCCCAGACUCCUACGGGAGGCAGCAGUGGGGAAUAUUGCGCAAUGGGCGAAAGCCUGACGCAGCGACGCCGCGUGGGGGAUGACUGCCUUCGGGUUGUAAACCCCUUUCAGCAGGGACGAAGCUUUCGGGUGACGGUACCUGCAGAAGAAGCGCCGGCUAACUACGUGCCAGCAGCCGCGGUAACACGUAGGGCGCAAGCGUUGUCCGGAAUCAUUGGGCGUAAAGGGCGCGUAGGCGGUGUACACAGUCAGGCGUGAAAUUCCCGGGCUCAACCUGGGGGCUGCGCUUGAUACAUGUACGCUUGAGUUCGGAAGAGGGUCGUGGAAUUCCCAGUGUAGAGGUGAAAUUCGUAGAUAUUGGGAAGAACACCGGUGGCGAAGGCGGCGACCUGGUCCGAUACUGACGCUGAGGCGCGAAAGCGUGGGGAGCA